Molecule: non-coding RNA, 209 nt
Organism: Pelobates cultripes (western spadefoot toad)
Lineage: Eukaryota; Metazoa; Chordata; Amphibia; Anura; Pelobatidae
Source: the annotation of a GenBank genome assembly
UUUUAACUUGAGUAUGUCGCCAAUAUACAGGAAUACGCGUGUUAGCGUCACUGAGGAGUAACCACCGCAAUCCUUGUUUAUCUCUCUGCUGGUACGUGUUAGGACAUCCUAAGAGUAUCUGGGGAUGGGUAACUAUUGAUAGCAAUGGAAGAAUCUCGUUUAUAGUAGAUAUUAUUCCCUCCCAAUACUCCCUAAUUUUCUGGCAAAAC